This 781-nucleotide ribosomal RNA is filed under the name uncultured bacterium. Its description in RNAcentral is "bacterial SSU rRNA". It matches the Rfam family "Bacterial small subunit ribosomal RNA", at positions 85 to 856 of the family's 1533-position model. The record is from RNAcentral.
CUUUUUUUUGGCGGCGGAUGGGUGAGUAACGCGUGAGAAACCCGCCUUUUACAAGGGGGAUAGCCUCGAGAAAUCGGGAUUAAUACCCUAUGAUACUUUUUAGUCGCAUGACUGAGUAGUUAAAGCGUAAAGCGGUAAAAGAUGGUCUCGCGUCCCAUUAGUUAGUUGGUGGGGUAAAGGCCUGCCAAGACCAUGAUACGUAGCCGACCUGAGAGGGUGAUCGGCCACACUGGGACUGAGACACGGCCCAGACUCCUACGGGAGGCAGCAGUAGGGAAUCUUCCACAAUGGGUGAAAACCUGAUGGAGCAAUGCCGCGUGAAUGAAGAAGGUCUUCGGAUCGUAAAGUUCUGUUAUUAGAGAAGAACAAGUCAAGGAGUAACUGUCUUGACUUUGACGGUACCUAACCAGAAAGUCACGGCUAACUACGUGCCAGCAGCCGCGGUAAUACGUAGGUGACAAGCGUUGUCCGGAAUUAUUGGGCGUAAAGGGAGCGCAGGCGGUUGGAAUAGUCUGAUGUGAAAGCCCACGGCUUAACCGUGGAAGGUCAUUGGAAACUGUCCAACUUGAAUACAGAAGAGGUAAGUGGAAUUCCAAGUGUAGCGGUGAAAUGCGUAGAUAUUUGGAGGAACACCAGUGGCGAAGGCGACUUACUGGUCUGUAAUUGACGCUGAGGCUCGAAAGCGUGGGUAGCAAACAGGAUUAGAUACCCUGGUAGUCCACGCCGUAAACGAUGAGUGCUAAGUGUUAGGGGGUUUCCGCCCCUUAGUGCUGGAGUUAAC